AGAGUUUGAUCAUGGCUCAGGAUGAACGCUGGCGGUAUGCUUAACACAUGCAAGUCGAACGGAACUCUUUGGAGUUUAGUGGCGGACGGGUGAGUAACGCGUGAGAAUCGGCCCUCAGGUUGGGGACAACCACUGGAAACGGUGGCUAAUACCGAAUAAGCCGAAAGGUGAAAGAUUAAUUGCCUGGGGAAGAGCUCGCGUCUGAUUAGCUAGUUGGUGGGGUAAAGGCCUACCAAGGCACCGAUCAGUAACUGGUCUGAGAGGAUGGCCAGUCACACUGGGACUGAGACACGGCCCAGACUCCUACGGGAGGCAGCAGUGGGGAAUUUUCCGCAGUGGGCGAAAGCCUGACGGAGCAAUACCGCGUGGGGGAGGAAGACUCUUGGGUCGUAAACCUCUUUUCUCAGGGAAGAACACAAUGACGGUACCUGAGGAAUCAGCAUCGGCUAACUCCGUGCCAGCAGCCGCGGUAAUACGGAGGAUGCAAGCGUUAUCCGGAAUGAUUGGGCGUAAAGCGUCCGCAGGUGGCAGUGUAAGUCUGCUGUCAAAGGUCAGGGCUCAACCCUGAACAGGCAGUGGAAACUACACAGCUAGAGUGCGGUGGGGGCAGAGGGAAUUCCCAGUGUAGCGGUGAAAUGCGUAGAGAUUGGGAAGAACACCGGUGGCGAAAGCGCUCUGCUAGGCCGUAACUGACACUCAUGGACGAAAGCUAGGGGAGCGAAUGGGAUUAGAUACCCCGGUAGUCC
Molecule: ribosomal RNA, 746 nt
Filed under: uncultured cyanobacterium
Lineage: Bacteria; Bacillati; Cyanobacteriota
Description: bacterial SSU rRNA
Rfam family: Bacterial small subunit ribosomal RNA
Source: RNAcentral